GCUUAGCCCUAAAUACUGAUGCUUAACUUACAGUUAACUCCGCCCGGGUACUACGAACAUAAGUUUGAAACCCAAAGGACUUGGCGGUGCUUAACACCCCCCUAGAGGAGCCUGUUCUAGAACCGAUAAUCCCCGUUAAACCUCACCCUCCCUUGUUAAUCCCGCCUAUAUACCACCGUCGUCAGCUUACCCUUUGAAGGAUAUAUAGUAAGCAAAAAUGGCACAGCCCAAUACGUCAGGUCGAGGUGUAGUGUAUGGGAGGGGAAGAGAUGGGCUACAUUCACUAACUGUAGUGAAUCACGGAUGUUCGUAUUGAAACAUACAACUGAAGGAGGAUUUAGUAGUAAGCAGGAAGUAGAGUGUCCUGCUGAAACCGGCUCUUGAGCGCGC
This 390-nucleotide ribosomal RNA is filed under the name Ammotretis rostratus (longsnout flounder). RNAcentral's name for it is "partial 12S ribosomal RNA". It matches the Rfam family "Bacterial small subunit ribosomal RNA", at positions 794 to 1384 of the family's 1533-position model. The record is from RNAcentral. Lineage: Eukaryota; Metazoa; Chordata; Actinopteri; Pleuronectiformes; Rhombosoleidae.